ACAACAAACGUUAUAAAAUGUGUAAAAAUACUGUACAAAUAUAAAUAUACAAUAUUUAUAUAAAUACCUUUGUUUCUUUUGUUUCAAAAUGACUUUACAGUUUGAAGAAUUAAAGGUGGAAGUACAAGGAAUACAGCACCAAAGCUACAAUAGGUCCACAAGCUCGUGCUAAUGCUCCAAGAGAACGAAAAACACCUGUUAUUGCACCUUUUUGAUGAUCAGGACCAAUACGUGUUACAAGCGUCAUCAUACAUGUAACAACCAUGGCAGUUGCUAUAAUGUAUGAAAAAGAUAUAAAAUUUUUAUUUAUUUUAAUCAAAUAUGAUGAAUAAUCCAUAGAUAUUUGUUGUAUUUCAUAUAUAUAAAUUUAUGUCACAAUAUACUCACAAAUUGCAAACAGAAA
Molecule: long non-coding RNA, 403 nt
Organism: Bombus pascuorum
Lineage: Eukaryota; Metazoa; Arthropoda; Insecta; Hymenoptera; Apidae
Exons: 2
Source: RefSeq, a predicted model, not a curated record